AGCAGGCGCAAGUGUUUGACUUGGUGAUCUGUCAGCAGAAUGUGUCCGUCCAGCCUGUGCUCCUGCUUCAAUUGAUUGGCCAAUAACGGCAGCACUCAUGUGAUUGAUUGGUGAAAUGGCUAAUUGCGGGGCUGGCAGGCAAGACUGGAUGGGCAAUGACAGCAGCAGAGUGGAGCGGGACGAGGAGAGAAAUCUUGAAAACACAGAGGAUAAGUGCAACUGAUUGCAAAAAUGGCAGUGCUAGUGUGAGCUGACUCAUAACACAUUUGGCAUACCAUUUUAAUGUCAGCUGCAGAAGCAGAAAAUAUCCACUGCGGAAGUGAUCGUUUAAAGAUGCCUGUGGGAAUGGCUUCAGGGGAUGGUGAUAUGAGGCACCUAAUGAAGAACAUGACACCAGCCUGAGAUGCCUGGGGGGUGAGUACAGAAAAUUGCACUUCAAUGAUGAGCACCUUGCCUUAU
RNAcentral lists this long non-coding RNA (459 nucleotides) under Salvator merianae (Argentine black and white tegu). RNAcentral describes it as "lncRNA (ENSSMRG00000020685.1)". The record is from RNAcentral. Lineage: Eukaryota; Metazoa; Chordata; Lepidosauria; Squamata; Teiidae.